Molecule: ribosomal RNA, 497 nt
Filed under: uncultured bacterium
Lineage: Bacteria
Description: partial 16S ribosomal RNA
Rfam family: Bacterial small subunit ribosomal RNA
Source: RNAcentral
GAUGAACGCUGGCGGCGUGCCUAAUACAUGCAAGUCGAGCGAACAGACGAGGAGCUUGCUCCUCUGAUGUUAGCGGCGGACGGGUGAGUAACACGUGGAUAACCUACCUAUAAGACUGGGAUAACUUCGGGAAACCGGAGCUAAUACCGGAUAAUAUAUUGAACCGCAUGGUUCAAUAGUGAAAGACGGUUUUGCUGUCACUUAUAGAUGGAUCCGCGCCGCAUUAGCUAGUUGGUAAGGUAACGGCUUACCAAGGCAACGAUGCGUAGCCGACCUGAGAGGGUGAUCGGCCACACUGGAACUGAGACACGGUCCAGACUCCUACGGGAGGCAGCAGUAGGAAAUCUUCCGCAAUGGGCGAAAGCCUGACGGAGCAACGCCGCGUGAGUGAUGAAGGUCUUCGGAUCGUAAAACUCUGUUAUUAGGGAAGAACAAAUGUGUAAGUAACUAUGCACGUCUUGACGGUACCUAAUCAGAAAGCCACGGCUAACUACGUG